GGGCCCGGAGCUCAGUGGUAGAGCGGGUGUCUUAUAUACACCAUGCCGUAGGUUCGAUUCCUACCGGGCCCACCA
Molecule: transfer RNA, 75 nt
Filed under: bacterium
Lineage: Bacteria
Description: tRNA-Ile
Rfam family: tRNA
About the family: Transfer RNA (tRNA) molecules are approximately 80 nucleotides in length.
Source: RNAcentral